Molecule: RNase P RNA, 358 nt
Filed under: Betaproteobacteria bacterium
Lineage: Bacteria; Pseudomonadati; Pseudomonadota; Betaproteobacteria
Description: RNase P RNA component class A
Rfam family: Bacterial RNase P class A
About the family: Ribonuclease P (RNase P) is a ubiquitous endoribonuclease, found in archaea, bacteria and eukarya as well as chloroplasts and mitochondria. Its best characterised activity is the generation of mature 5'-ends of tRNAs by cleaving the 5'-leader elements of precursor-tRNAs. Cellular RNase Ps are ribonucleoproteins.
Source: RNAcentral
GAAGCUCGCCAGGCCGUCGCUGGUGCAAUCUGGGAAACCAGGCACUGGAGGAACGUCCGGACUGCACAGGACAGCGCAGGAGGUAACACCUCUCCACCGCGAGGUGAGGAUCAGAGCAACAGAGACGAGUCACUUUGGGGCCGCACCGAAGACGCAAGUCUGCAGUGCGAGGCCCAAGGUGGGUGAAACGGGCAAUCUCUGCGCGCAGCAAUACCAAGUAGGCCAACGUUGAGGCGGUCCGCUGAGUUGGCGGGUAGGUAGCACCGAGCCGGGCAGGCAACUCCCGGCCCAGAGGAAUGGCGGUCACGCGCCGGGCAACCGGCGUGCACAGAAUCCGGCGUAUCGGCGGGCUUCACAC